UGGCUCUCGCAUCGAUGAAGAACGCAGCGAAAUGCGAUAAGUAAUGUGAAUUGCAGAAUUCAGUGAAUCAUCGAAUCUUUGAACGCACCUUGCGCUCCUUGGUAUUCCGAGGAGCAUGCUUGUUUGAGUGUCAUGGUCUUCUCAACCCUCUUGUGUUUUUUAUUAAACACAGGUGGGCUUGGACUUGGAGGUUUUGCAGGCAUCUGAAUCUUUCGAAUCAGAAGUCAGCUCCUCUGAAAUGCAUUAGCUUGAAUAGAACCAAGCAUGAUUCAACGUGAUAAUUGUCUACGUUGCUUCAUCUCGGUGAAUUUAAUGUUCGAGCUUCUAACUGUCCUCUGGGACACUAUCUGAACAUCUGACCUCAAAUCAAGUAGGACUACCCGCUGA
Molecule: unclassified non-coding RNA, 387 nt
Filed under: uncultured fungus
Lineage: Eukaryota; Fungi
Description: partial contains 5.8S ribosomal RNA and internal transcribed spacer 2
Rfam family: 5.8S ribosomal RNA (bases 1-133)
Source: RNAcentral